Molecule: long non-coding RNA, 431 nt
Filed under: Homo sapiens (human)
Lineage: Eukaryota; Metazoa; Chordata; Mammalia; Primates; Hominidae
Description: HSALNT0219712
Source: RNAcentral
AUUUUAUAAUAAAUUAUCUUAAAUAUAAGAAUGUGAAUUUUAUUUUUCCUAAGAAUGAGAAAUAUAAUUUUACUUAUUGCUAAUAGAGAAGGCAGUUUAUUCUUGUUUGCAUGUCCUAAAAACCAGUAUUCAUUUCUUUCUAAAAAUGUUUAUGUAGACUGGGCACAGUGGCACACGCCUGUAAUCCCAGCACUUUGGGAGGCCAAGGCAGAAGGGUUGCUUGAGGCCAGGAGUUUGAGACUAGCCUGGCCAACAUAGCAAGGCCCCAUAUCUGAAUGAAUGAAUGAAUGAAUGAAAAACAAAGGAGAUUAUUAUUUCCAAUAGUCUUAGUAAUGGAACAUUUCCAGUUUUCUUGAGGAAUGAGUUUCUUUGGUUUUAAUGAAUUAAAAUGGCCUUUGGAAGUCCCCUCCCUCUUUCUGAGUCUCUUCUCC